UACGUAGGGUGCGAGCGUUGUCCGGAAUUAUUGGGCGUAAAGGGCUCGUAGGCGGUCUGUCGCGUCGGGAGUGAAAACUUACGAGCUUAACCUGUGAGCGUGCUUCCGAUACGGGCAGACUUGAGGUAUUCAGGGGAGAACGGAAGUUCCUGGUGGUAGCGGUGAAAUGACGCAGAUAUCAGGAGGAACACCGGUGGCGAAGGCGGUUCUCUGGGAAUAUCCUGACGCUGAGGAGCGAAAGUGUGGGGAGCGAACAGG
RNAcentral lists this ribosomal RNA (258 nucleotides) under uncultured bacterium. RNAcentral's name for it is "partial 16S ribosomal RNA". It matches the Rfam family "Bacterial small subunit ribosomal RNA", at positions 524 to 776 of the family's 1533-position model. The record is from RNAcentral.